AUCCGGAUAGUGAGUUACUAUCCGGUAUCCGGCCGGAUAUUAAAUUUAGGCCGGAUAUCCGGCCUACCGGAUAGUUACCGGAUAUCCGUUUCAUCUCUAAUAUAGAUCUUAGUGUCCGACCGAAACUAGUUUUACGACCGAAACCGAAACCGAAAACGAAUUUCGGCAACGAUGUCUAUUUCGGCCGAAACCGAAACCGAAACCGAAACUUCCUUACGUACAAGGCUCAUAUUUUGAGAGAAAAAUAAAGAAAACGUUAUUAUAAUCAGUCAGUCUAUAUUGUUUUCUCUUUAAAUUGCAUUAAAAUUGAACUUAUAAAGUGCCUUUUUAAAAGGUAUCAAAUUAUGUAUUAAAAAAGAAAAAGAAGGAUUUAUUGGCUCUGUGCACGAUUACAGCGCCAACUAGCGUCCACAACUUUGAGGGCUCUGUCACAUUGACAUUUAGGUCGUAUAUUAGUGAAAAAAUAUCGAAAUGAAAAAAUAACAAAUAUUUUCGACUAAUAAAUUGUUGUGAUACCACGAUUUGGGUGGAAAAAAGGUUUUGAAAUCAUUUUGGUCAUUCAAAUCAAAUGAGAUCGAAAUGAGUAUUGUUUUGAAGACCGGGUUUGUGAGUGUUACAAUAUCAAAUUCCAACCACAAACCGUAUUUAAAGGAAAGUUGUUGGUAUUGGCUGGACAAGUCCGAGAUGUAGAAGAAUUCAGAACAAAACAAGGGCAGAGUUCAAUAAUUCACGCUCUCAUCAUAAGGCAAACAUCUGUGCACAACAACUACUGUGACUCAUUUUUGUACUACCACGUUGUAUAGUCUAGUUAUUUCCAAAUUGUAAACGGCUAUUAAACCAGCCCUAUCGAAAUACA
Long non-coding RNA from Ostrinia nubilalis (European corn borer), 856 nucleotides. RefSeq lists it as uncharacterized. The record is from RefSeq and is a predicted model, not a curated record. The transcript has 2 exons. NCBI's taxonomy places the organism in Eukaryota, Metazoa, Arthropoda, Insecta, Lepidoptera, Crambidae.